Acinonyx jubatus (cheetah) is the source of this 11132-nucleotide long non-coding RNA. RefSeq lists it as uncharacterized. The record is from RefSeq and is a predicted model, not a curated record. The transcript is spliced from 2 exons. NCBI's taxonomy places the organism in Eukaryota, Metazoa, Chordata, Mammalia, Carnivora, Felidae.
ACAAGGACGCUUUUAAUCAUUACACUCUGUGCUGGGAGAGAAAUGAAUCCAAAUGAAGGGGGAGCCGGGAGGAAGAGAGAGGUAGAGAUUCCCACAGAGAAAGGGGGUUGGGGGCCCAGACAGUCAGAGACAGACAGACACAACUGGGGCAGUCUGAUGCACUGGUCUUUGCAGUUCAGAAGCGGAAGACAGAGAAGAAUGAAAGGGAGGAAGACACAAGAAAGAAGGCAAGAAAAGGAAAAGAGGAGAGACUGAGAAAAGGAACCGUACAGAGGAAGGGAAAGAGAAAGACACAGAGAAAGAGCGGGAAAGAAGACCAAGGCAGUCAGAGGAGCGAGCCCCCGGGGAACUCGCAGCCCCUCCGGCCCCCGCCCUCCUUCUGGCCUGGUAACCUGCAGGCUGCACCGGGGAGUGGGCACCGGGCAGCGGCGGAGCCCAGGCAGGAGAGCCGAAUGUCUUCGUGAUGUGUUUAUCCCCUAAUCAGUUCAUUAGUUAUAAACAACAUGACAUUAGAAGUUAGGAGGCAGUUGAUAUUAAUUUUUAUUUAACUAGUUGAUGUUUAAUCCGUCACGCCAGGCUGGGUAGCAGCGAGAAAGAUCUUCCUGACACAAAACCAGUUAGAACUUCAUAAGGCGCAAUCAGUGUCCGCGCGUUGAAACAAACAAGAGAGACAGAGACAGAGAGACAGGGAGAGACAGAGAGACAGAGGCAGCCCCGCCUGAGACGGAGCUGGCGAGUCGGGCGGGAGAGAGCUAACCCCGGGCGUGGGCUGUGGGGAAACGACCUGCGGAGACUGGGAACGCAGCGGGGACGGCCGGCGAGGGCCUGGCCGCCCUGAACCGGGGCUCCGCGCCCCAGCGCCGCUGGAUGCGGUAGUGGGGGGCCGGCCGGGCGCCCCGGGAAAGCCCGGCCCGAUGGCGGCGGGGCUGGCGGCCAGGGCCCUGCCGAGCCUCUCCGCGGCACCCAACAGCGCCUUCCGCGGUGGAACGCGUUGGGGGUCCGGCUGCCUGGAGGGUGGCAGGGGCUAACAAGCCGGCGAGGCCAGGCCACCACCCUCACAGCACGGCCAUCCCCCCCUGUCUGGAAGCCGGGAACCCCUCCCGGCCUGCACCAGGAAGAGCGGCCCGGGGCAAAAGAGGAAAGGAGGAAAAGGCGAGGAGUUUGUGCCCGGUGGCUCAAGUUUGACAAAGUUUGCGGCGAUCACGAGCCCGAGCAGGGUGUGUGUGCGUGUGUGUUGGGGUGCUCGGCAGUGGCGAAGGGGGAGGAAGUGAGGCACAGUGCUAGGGUUCUGGAGGAGGAAAAGUUUGCCAACGCCUCCAGGAGCGUCCCCGCAUUCCGGGGCUCCGAGUAGGGAGCAGGCUGUGUCGGUCGCGGGCUCCUCGGAGGUGCCCCGGGCUUGCCCAGGUAAAGCUGCCCUCUCAACCCCGCCCCCAAGCACGAGCGUUCGGCUUUUUCCACCUUCGCUCCGGGCACCGGCCGGGCGCCGGCUUGGUCACGGCUUCGUGCGUCGGCACGGGGCGGGGGGCGGGCUGUAGUUUUCCGCGGUCGCGAAGGACACCGUUUGGAGGGACAGAGGCAUCCUCGCCCGCGCGCAGACUCAAGCCGAGCAUCUCCCAUUUGCAUGUUAAUCUGCCUCCACCGCGGAAAGGAAAUCGCUGAAUUCCGAAGAAAAUUGCCUCUCGCCAACAGUUAAUAGUUAACUCAGACAGGAAAGUUCCCAGGGAAAGGCGAAAGCCAGGGCGAGAGCCGCAGGGGAGGAGGCCGGGGAGGCGGCCUGGGAGGGCCUGGUCCCGGCCCUGGCCUCUCCCCUCCGCCCUGCGCGCUCGGCCUGGCGCGCCUCCCCACCUCUGGCAGCGCGUCCCCCACCCCGUAAUUAGCAUCGUUUAGUUCACAAAACCCUUCCUGGGAGAAAUCUGUUCCCUCUUUCCGGGGCUCGGUUCAGCACCUGAUUCCGCCGGGUGAGGCGAAUAAAUCACUGCGGAGGCGGCGGUGGCGGCGGCGGCGGCGGCGGGGGAGCCGGACCCGAGCUCACCAGACUGGGGCCGCCGGAAGAACGAAAAAGUGAGAAAGAGGAGCGGAGUCAGGGGGAAAAAAAAGAAAAGAAAAAGAAAAAAAGAGGCAGAGAGAUGGCGCAACCCUAGCGUAGGGACACAGAAGGGUCCGGGAAGGGAGACCCAAAGAAAGUCAGGGACCCAGAGGCAGAGAAGGGGCCAAAAUAAACAAGGGAGAUACAGAGAAAGACGGACAGAGAGAGGCAGAAAUAAAGGCGAACGAAAAGAAUGGGGAAACGAGGGGAAAGAGAAGUUAAAGAAGAAAGGAGGGCGGGGGGGGGGAUUAAGAAGAUGGGGACAAAAGAAUAAAAUAAAAGAAACCCAAAAGAGCAAACGCUUUUAUCUACAAAAACUCCCCUGCGAGAGGCUCGGCAGUGAGAACGCGCCCCGCGGCGGCCAGGAAUUUCGCGCCAGGGCCGCAGACCCCAGAGGCCCCGGUGGGCAGCGCAGCCUUCGCACUCGGGGCUCUAGACUGGGUUGCGUGCAGAAUCGGACUCCAAGUUGAAGUUCCAGGGCUCUGGGCACGCAGGAGCAUCUGCUCCCGGAAGGCAUGGUGUUUGUGUGUGGGGACGUCACCCCAGAUCCGUGGCGGAGGAGGGGAUGGGGAGAUGAAAAGGCACAAGGCUCUCUUGGGCGCGCGUGGGGCGCCUAGGACUUCCUGCCCUGGUGCGAAAGGAGACGGGGACGCGGGGCGGGCUGGCUUCGGUCGCUUAGCUCAGACCCCUGGGCGUCCCCGCAGCUAGGACCCCCGGGGCCCGUUCUUGGGCAGAGCCUCGGAGAACUCGCCACCCCCGCCCCCUCUCGCAGAGCCCUCGCUCCCAGGCCCGCGCACCCUGCUCUGCUUGGAGAAAAAAAGUAACGUGGGGAGAACCGCGCCCCGGCGCCAGUGGAGGGCGCAUUUCCCGAACCGCCUCCCCGCGGCGACCCAGAGGCGCCGCGCAGAUUCCUCUCGCUCUAGGGGCCAGGCCCCGCACUGAUCCUCCCGGGGCAGAGAGUGGGGAGGGGGAGAGGAAAGAAGAGGAGGAAGAAGUGGGGAAGGGUGGGGAGAGAUGCAGAAGAGAAGCAGCGAGGGAUGAAAAGUGGAAAUGUGGACCGGAGGGAAAGGAAGGAGCAAGGAGGUUAGGGGGCGUCUCCCCUCCGGUCUGACGAGGUCACUGCACGGACAAAAGGCGCUCCCUCCCCGGUCUCACUCAUUGCGAGUGAGACCUGUGCUAUGGCUCCCCCGGGACGUCGGGCUAGAGACUGAGACCCCGACAGGGCCGCUGGUGGCCUCUGUGCCUGUGGGACCCAGGGUGAGGCGAGGAAGACUUCGCCCCUGGAGUGACUAGCGCCCGGAAAUUUUCCAACCCCUGGGAUUUCCGGGUAGAUGUGGUCCAGUCCAGUCCACUCCUCCUCCCCGCUCCUGCCCCUUUCUCCUGCCUUCUCUGGCAGGUCCGGUGCAGCUAUCGAGCUGGACUAGAGAGGAGUUGGAUGAAAAGACCUUCAGGAAGAAGAUUGACAGUUCAGUCCAUUCCUACUUUUGUAUGGAGACAGGACAAAACCUAGAUCAGAAUCCUUUGGGCUAGGGAAGUCGGGAGGCAGUGACCAAGCAAAACCAGCUCAGAGGGCAUCAGUCAGUUGGUCAGUCCACUUUGGUCUGCUCAGUGAUGGAUGCCAGGACUACAGAGGCCAUGGGAUGCCAUUGAAGGAUUUUAAGCAGGGAAGGAAAAAGAUCUGAUUUGGGAGGAAAGACCACUGUGCAGGUGUGGGCAAGAGGUAGACAGGGAGAGGCAGAGACUGGACAAACAGUCUUCUCAGCAAAAGAAGAUGGAAGGCCUCAAAACAAAAUAGUCUGAGGGAGACAGAGAAGAGAGGUGAGAAAUGGAAGCAGAGUGGUGAGUACUUGGGCACAGAUUGUGUGUAUGUGUGUGUGUGUGUGUGUGUGUUGUGGGGUGAGAUGAUAAAUUAAGAUCUGCCUAAGUCUCUGUCUGGAUAACUUCAGUCUCAACUCUGACCCCUCCCCUCACUCACCAUCCCCUUCCUCUCAUAAAGCCUCCCCCCACCCCGCCCCCCCGUAAUUGUUACAGAAGCCAAAAUCCAGGCAUCUUGUCUGGAGGCAACACUUGUCUCCUCAUCUCAUGACCUUACCAGGCAGCCUCAUAGAACAAGGUGCCCUAAAGAAGAAGGUAACUUCUCACUAACCCAAGACAGAGAGGGUGGCAUCCAAGAGUGAAAAAUGGGGCCAGGCAGUCCUGAGGUAGAUCUCCUCUUUCUCAGUUCUAAAACAGGCCAGUUAUGUGACCUUGAACUCAUUGGGCCUAUGUGUCCACAUCUGUAAAAGGGGAGUGAGUGUAUUUGCCUUGUGGAAUUGUUGGGUGGUAUUAAAUAAGGGGUGUAUAUUAAGCCCUAACAAUAAUGUCUGACCACAUUAGGUCAUUCCCCAUGCCCAUCCCAGACCUGGACCUCUGUAGGCACUGACUGUGCAUUUUCUCCUGCGCAGGCACGAAGUGUCAGGGGGUACAAAGAGCAGUGAGAUAGAGACACUCUGGAGAAGAUGUCAAUCCAGAGGGAAGGCCAGGUGCCCCACUAGAGCAAAGUUAAUAAUGACAGUAAAAACAACUAACAUGCCUGAAGGCUUAUGGUAUGUCAGGCAUCAUUUUAAAUGCUUUACACAUAUUAAUUCCAUUCAUCCACAUCCAUUAUUAUGAACCCCACUUUAACGAUGUGGAAACGGAGGCACAGGGCAUUUUAGUAAUGUCUCCACAAUCACAGAGCGAGGAGGUAGCAAAAGUAGGAUCUGUACCCAGAUGUUGCUUCCAUGACCUGCGUUCUUAAGCAUGUGCUGUAGUAGAUAUUCUUACUGCUCAGAGAGAAGUCAGGGGGAGGAGGGACACUGGCUGUGGCUCAGGGGUUGAAUGGGUCUGAGAGGAUUUCUUCAGGGCAUCCAUUUGAUGGGACUCAAGAGUCCUUCUUCCCUCUUUCUUGCAGAUUCUCACGCCAGUCCCCUUUCACCACCACCUCCAUGCUCUUUUCUCAUCUCUGCCUAGCGCCUCUGAAUCCAAAACUCAGAGCUGGCUCCUGGGACCAGGCCAAACAAGUCUGUGAAACUGCAGGGCCACCAAGCCCUCGCUCAGCUCAGCCCUUCAGGGAGCUGGGAGCCCUACCCUAAGAGCUGUCCUGUGUAUUGGGAGACUCUGACUUCUCUGGCCUGGCCUUGUCCCUCUCUAAGAGCCCUCAGGCUUUUCCAGCUUCCAGACCUGCAGCUCCUCUCUGGCUGGACUCAGGCUUUGAUCAGACCUGGGUGGAUCCUGAGCCUCAACAGCAGCCACAGCCAAGAGUUGCCUGGAUUGAUCUCAAUGCCUGCCCCUCCCAGGCCUAACCUGGGUUGUCCCACACAGAUCCCCAGGAGUUGGACCACGGUGCCCCUGGGAACUGCAGGGAAGCACAGAGGACCCCACUCAGGGGCCCAUCCUGUCCACUGGCUCCUCUGGGUUCACAUACCAGGCACUGUGGCUGUCCUCAGAACUGACUUCCCUGUGGCCAGAGAGCUGCCUUUCCCGCUAUGUGCUGCAACUACCUACAGUUCCUCCCGCCUCUAGGCCCACAGAGGUCGUUCUUUUCCCUGCUCUGAGCAGGAGUUAUGUCCGCCAAAAGAUAGAAGUUGAAGUUCUGGAAUUUUCCAAGCCUGUGGAAACUAUUUACACUCUUAACCCAUCCAGGAAGAGUGAGGCAGAAAUGAGUGUGUGUGUGAGUAUGAGAGGAGAGGUCUGGGCCUACAUUGGAGAGGUUCUUUUUUUUUUUUUUUUUUUUUUUUUUACGGGAAUUUAACCAAUUCUUUACCUGUGAGUUCUUUAAAAAUGGUCACUGUAGCCAGGAAGAUAUUAGUCCCAAAGUACCAGGCCCACAGAACAAAACCCUUUAUGGACUUAUAGGUGUCUGCUUCCCAGUUUGCAGCCUUGUCUCUUGAGAACCUUCCUCCAAGACCGACAGGGUGUUAGGCAAGAGUCCAAUCGCUCAGAACCAGCACUUAGCGAGGGUGACUGGAUGGAUGUAAAUGAGAGAGGAUUCUCUCCCGCUGCUCCCUUCCUGUCCCCUACCCCAGGUCUUCUUCAGGUAAAGUUGUUGUGUACUUGGUGGCAUGGGGGCUGGGGGUGGGGGCUGAAAGGAGGGGGGGGAGGCUCUGCCCUCAGCAUCCCUGAAGCAAAUACAUCCUUUCCCAAGGACAAGUUACUCUCCAAGUUUUAGUUUCCUCAUCUGAGAAGUGGGAAGGCUCAUCCCUUCUGCACACAUUGGAGCGCUGGCGCGGCUUCUGGCACACACAGGGACCACCCUUCAAUGUCAUUAUCAUAUGUCUUUGAAGGAACCCGAACUGCCUGGGUCACAGGUUCGGGGUUCAUGGCGGCUGCUCAGCACCUGUGGACGCUGAGAGCUGGGAGGUGAGCCUCCUCGGGCAGAGCCGCGCCUCUCGGGCCCGGGGCUGCGGACCCCACCGGUCUCCGUGGCGCAGAGCCAGACCCUCGGGUGCGCAGAGGGGAGCCGGCCAGGCCGAGAGGUUGGACCGCCCGGUCGGAUCAAGGCUAGGGGUGAGGGGUGCGGGGCGCGCACGGGAGGACUCGGCCUCUCCCGGCUCGUGUCCGAAGCCCGCCGGGCGGCGGUGGCCGAGGAGCCUGCGGGGCUUAGAGCUGCCCCGGGGCCUGGUGCGUCCUCCGCGCUCCGAGCGCUCGCCCGCCUGGCCCCGCCCGCCGCGCGCCGGCGCUCGAUUAAUAAUCAUAAACCUUCCGCUCACCCUCCUCUUAAAAUUAAUAACUCUGUAAUUAGAGUCAUUUCGGAAGCCUCCUGAGCCGCCGAGGCCGGCCGGGUCGCCGGCCGCCCUGCGCCGUGGGCAGGAGGGAGGAGGAGGCCGGGCGCGGCGGCCGCGGCAUCUGCAGGUACAGAAUGAGAAUUAAAAUCGCUCUCAACAAUCCAAUACACUUUUUAUCAGCCAUCUAUCUGAGAGCCGGGCCCAUUCAUCAUCCGAGGCAUUCUCCCUGAAAACAAGACCCAUUCAGAUUUUAUACAAAUUAUCAUAUUUAUCAUCGUCUCCAACUCCGGAGUAACAUCUCCGCAAAGUGUCUGCCGUCUCCCCGGGGAGCCGCGCGGCUCGGAGCGCCCGAGCGCCCGCCUGGCAAUUCCCCCCGCCGGCCCCCCCCCCCCGCCUCUCCUUCCCCAACCGCCCUCCCCCCCACCACCCCCCCAUCCCCGGCCCCGGACGUGGUCCCCGACUCUGGCCUUUGAUCCGCUGCCUCCACUUGCUCCCACCGCUCUCUCUUUUCUCCCCCCUCCCCAUUAAUCUCUCUUUCUCUCCUGUCUCUCCCACUCUCUUCCCUCUUCUCAGCUCUCCCUCUGGCCUCUGAUCCACUGGGUCUCUUUCCCUCCCCACUAGCUUGCUCCCACUGGCUCUCACUUUCCCUCUUCACCCCCAACCCCUCACCUGGUCUCCAGUGCCCCAUCAGGUCUCUCCUCUUUUUCGUCUCUUUCUCUCUGUCUGUCUCUUUGGGCCUUUGCUUUCUCCCCAGCCAGCAUCCCCAUCCCAGAAGCAAGACGGGCAGUUCCUAACAGAACAGCUUGAGCCUCCCCUCCCUGGCCGAGGAGGGCUUCCCCAGAUCGAUUCAGGGGCCAACUCUGGCCCAUAUCCAGGAAGUCUAAGGAAAUGAAGCAGGGCCACCACUAGUCUGCUACACACACACACACACACACACACUCACAGCCCUACACCACAUGUACCCCACACAGCCCCCAACACACACAACCCUCAAUACACUCCCCAACACUGACCCCAACCACACUCAUGUAGCCAAUCUCUCCAUACACAUAUUUCCCCUCAUACUGCACACAGUCCCCCAAUGCAUACACAUACCCCCCAAUACGUAUCCCCAAUACAUACACAUACCCCAAUACAUACACAUACACCCCAAUGCAUACAGAUGCACAGAAGUUUCAGGGGCACACAUCUUUCAAACACACAGGUGUGCAGAUAUGCAGUGCCCUCUCAUGCCCUCUUACCCAGAUUCUCAGCCCCCUCAUCUCUCUCCUCUCUCUCUCAGCAUGUACACACGCUUGAGGCAGGAACAGGUCGUCACAGCCCCUGGGACAACUUCUGCCUUGGUAGAGGAGUUCCCCUGUCACCAGCAAGAUCUCAGGUGUUCCAUCUAGCUACUGGAAGAGCCCCACUUGCUCUGCCCUGACCCCCAGGGGUCAGUGAGGUUUCCCUAGUUCUGAUUCACAGACACUGGGAUAUUUUAAAAGAGGCCUUUAUUCAGAUUCUAAGGAGGGAGACCUCACAACAAGUGACAGCAGCAAUGUUCAGAACACAGGUUUCUGACUCCAACAACCAUCUGUGGGUGACUGUUUUCUUUCUAGGCCUCCACCCUGGGGGGACCCUGCUGGGCUUCCUGGAGGCAGCCAGCCUCCAGCGUUAUAUUGAGUUCCCUCUGACCUAGCCCAUCCUCAGUCUCCCAUCAAAAGCCUGCCUCAGUUGGUCACUGUGGGGGAGCCUGUGGUUGUGUGUCCCAUGGGCGGUUGGUUGGUUGAUUCAUUCAUUCCUCAGUCACUAAUUCAACAACCACAGCUGCGUGCCUCCUCUGUGUCAGCUCUGCGCGUGGCAUGGGGAUUCCAGUGGCGGACGAGAGAUACUCAGUCCUGCCUCCAUGUAGGUUCAGUCUAGAGCAGUGCUAUCCCAUAGAACUAUCUGUGAUCGUGCGAAGGUUUUAUAUCUGCGCUGUUCAAUCUGGCGACCACUAGCCACAUGUGGCAAUUGAGCACUCAGAGAGUGGCAGAUGUGACAGAGGAACUGAUUUUUUCUUUUAUUUAUUUAAAGUUAAAUUUAAUCAAAUUUGAUUUAAUUAUUCUGCUUACUUGUAGCGGAUGGCUACUGUAUUGACCAGCACGGGUCUCUUGGUGGGUUAGUCUUCAUCUCAUUAAAUGGGGCAGGAUGUGUGGGAGGGAAUCCCUUCCUCCUUCCAGAGUGUGGGAAGCCUGUAAGUGUCAGCAGGGGGGUCUCUGAGCAUAGCUCCUCUUCCUGUGUGGACGGCCAGGACCACUACAUUUUAUAAGAACCUGUGCCCCUAAAACAGGCCCAUUCCAAAGACUGUAGAUGAGUGAUCCCCCUCUUUAUGAAAGAGUAACACUAGCACUCCUUGGCUACUAGACAAAACACUAUUUACAUCCAAUGUCUCCUAAGUCUUACUUGGGGUUCUUAAAUACAAAUGCUGGUGAGGGCAGAAAUGGUUGGAAAGACCAAUAGGGGUGGGGGUUCUGGGGCAGCUGGAGAGGGCAAGGCCCCUCUAAUGGAUGUGACUGUCAUGCAGAAGUGGGGGCCGGUGAUGCCAAUGGUCUGAUUUUUUUAAGAAUACCCGUGAGUCUUAGUUUUUAUUUGAAAUUCAUUGAAAACUAUCAAAAAUUUAAAAUUUAAUGUUUAUUUAUUUUUGAGAGAGAGAGAGAGACAGAGCGUGAGCAGGGGAGGAGCAGGGAGAGGGAGACACAGAAUCUGAAGCAGGCUCCAGGCUCCGAGCUGUCCGCACAGAGCCCAACGCAGGGGUUGAACUCACAGACCGCAAGAUCAGGACCUGAGCUGAAGUUGGAUGCUUAACUGACUGAGCCACCCAGGUGCCUAUGAAAACUAUCAAAAAUUGAAAAAACAAAGCAAACUCACAAAACCUAAGCAGGCAGAUGGUGUAUAAGGCAAAUGACCAAUGUGUAAAGAUAGUCAGUCAUUGCAGGUUUGUUUGCAGAUUAGAAGUUACCUAAAUGUUCACUAUUAGAAGCUUAGUUAAAUGACUUACAACACAUCUAUUCAAUGGAAUAUUAGACAGCCUUGACCAAGAAUGAAGUGAAUCUUUAUAUAUAAAGAUAUGGAAAGAUCUCCAAGGGGAAGUGAGUGAAAAAGUUAGGCAUGGAACAAUGCAUAAGGGACCAUUUAUUGAGAGAAGAAGAGACACACACAUACACGUACGCACACAUUUGUACCUGUACGGACAAGUCCUAAAAAGAUAUACAAAAAAUUGGAAAUAGUAGUUGCCUCAAGGAACCGGGCAGGGAUGAUACAAAGACUUUUUCCCUAGAUGCUGUUCAGUAUAUUUUGGCUUUUGCAGUAACUGCAUCAAUUACCUAUUUACAGGAUAGGCAGAGCAAACCAAGCUGAAGGCCAGCUAUGGCUUUUGGGCCACAUGUUUAUUAAUUCUGUUCCUCAUGGUGUGUCCCUUGGAGGUCGUUACUACCCCAUUAUAUAGAUGAGGAAGCUGAGACAGAGAGGUUAAUUAAGCUGCCCAGAGUUACAUUGGCCAGGAAGUGAUAGAGCUGGGAUCUUUACCUGGGUAUUCUAACUCCAGAGUGCAGGACUUAAACAUCUCAAUGCACACAGAGAACUCUGAAUCCUAUGUUUGCACCCGUGGUGGACUCAUGCCAAGAAUGCUCUAUCACACCUCUCUGGGGCCUGCUCAAGUGGCCCCUAUAAUCCAGACACAUCUGCAAAGACCUCCUGUGUCCUCUUCCGUGGUGAAAAGGAAUGGACAUCUAACUGCCAGCAAUGGUCCUUCAGAUCCUUGUGAUUCACCUUCCCUACUUAUGUCCUUGCCCAAGAGCAACCAACUAGAGUUGUUUCUUUUCUUCAAGUAGAUGUGAGUCUGGCUCCAGGGCCCCGGGCGUCGACGGUACCAAGAGAUUGUAGAGCAUGUUCUCUUUUGAGUCUCUCUUUUUUAAAAUUUAUUUAUUUAUUUGAGAGAGAGAGAGAGAGAGAGAGAGAGAGAGAGAGAGAGAGAGAAUGCACAAGAGGGGAUGGGGCAGAGAGAAGGAGAGACAGAAUCCAAAGCAAGCUCCACACUGUCAGCACAGAGCCCGAUGUGGGGCUCGAACUCACGAACUGUGAGAUCAUGACCUGAGCCAAGGUCAGAGUCAGACGCUUAACCAACUGUGCCACCCAGGUGCCCCUCUUUUGAAUCUCUCAAUGCCCAGUGAGGAAGGCAGGAAAGGAUUACUAUUACUAUUCCCUUUUUGUGGAUGAGGAAACGGAUGCUCAUACAUGACACCUACUUGUAUGAAUUAAAAAUAUAUUGUGGUGCAAAUUAA